GAUGAACGCUGGCGGCGUGCCUAAUACAUGCAAGUCGAGCGAACAGACGAGGAGCUUGCUCCUCUGACGUUAGCGGCGGACGGGUGAGUAACACGUGGAUAACCUACCUAUAAGACUGGGAUAACUUCGGGAAACCGGAGCUAAUACCGGAUAAUAUAUUGAACCGCAUGGUUCAAUAGUGAAAGACGGUUUUGCUGUCACUUAUAGAUGGAUCCGCGCCACAUUAGCUAGUUGGUAAGGUAACGGCUUACCAAGGCAACGAGGCGUAGCCGACAUGAGAGGGGGAUAGCCCACAAGGGAACGGAACCACGGUCAAGACGACUAAGGGAGGCGGCAGUAGGGAAUCUUGCGCAAUGGGGGAAAGCCUGACGGAGCAACACCGAGUGAGUGAUGAAGGUCUUGGGAUCGUAAAGCUCUGUUAUUAGGGAAAAACAAAUGUGUAAGUAACUAUGCACGUAUUGACGGUACCUAAUCAGAAAGCCACGGCUAACUACGUG
Molecule: ribosomal RNA, 497 nt
Filed under: uncultured bacterium
Lineage: Bacteria
Description: partial 16S ribosomal RNA
Rfam family: Bacterial small subunit ribosomal RNA
Source: RNAcentral